AGGAGCUUGCUCCUGUGACGCGAGUGGCGGACGGGUGAGUAACACGUAGGCAACCUGCCCAUCAGACUGGGAUAACCACGGGAAACCGUGGCUAAUACCGGAUAAUCCUUUUCCACACAGGUGGAAAAGUUGAAAGGCGGCCUUUUGGCUGUCACUGAUGGAUGGGCCUGCGGCGCAUUAGCUGGUUGGUGGGGUAACGGCCCACCAAGGCGACGAUGCGUAGCCGACCUGAGAGGGUGAUCGGCCACACUGGGACUGAGACACGGCCCAGACUCCUACGGGAGGCAGCAGUAGGGAAUCUUCCGCAAUGGACGAAAGUCUGACGGAGCAACGCCGCGUGAGUGAAGAAGGGUUUCGGCUCGUAAAACUCUGUUGUCAGGGAAGAACGCCGACGGGAGUAACUGCCCGUCGGGUGACGGUACCUGACCAGAAAGCCACGGCUAACUACGUGCCAGCAGCCGCGGUAAUACGUAGGUGGCAAGCGUUAUCCGGAAUUAUUGGGCGUAAAGCGCGCGUAGGCGGUUCGUUAAGUCUGAUGUGAAAGCCCCCGGCUCAACCGGGGAGGGUCAUUGGAAACUGGCGGACUUGAGUGCAGAAGAGGAGAGUGGAAUUCCAUGUGUAGCGGUGAAAUGCGCAGAGAUAUGGAGGAACACCAGUGGCGAAGGCGGCUCUCUGGUCUGCAACUGACGCUGAGGUGCGAAAGCGUGGGGAUCAAACAGGAUUAGAUACC
RNAcentral lists this ribosomal RNA (730 nucleotides) under bacterium SCSIO13076. RNAcentral's name for it is "bacterial SSU rRNA". It matches the Rfam family "Bacterial small subunit ribosomal RNA", at positions 74 to 786 of the family's 1533-position model. The record is from RNAcentral.